GUAUUGUAUUGCGUUAAACGCGGUGCACAUUCCAUAAGACUUUGCUACGGUGUACAUGUAAAGACAUAGGACUACAGGAGGAAGACAGGGUGUCCCCCAGACCAUAGAACUACGGAGGGUGCACAGGUGUGAGUGGAUGUGUAAACAGAGCGUGCACAUGCCCCCAUACAGGGGCCAGCAACAACCCUUGUUGACAAUUCGGUAAUGAUCCUUCCGCAGGUUCACCUACGGAAA
Molecule: unclassified non-coding RNA, 234 nt
Filed under: uncultured fungus
Lineage: Eukaryota; Fungi
Description: sequence contains ITS1
Source: RNAcentral